UACGUAGGGGGCAAGCGUUGUCCGGAAUUAUUGGGCGUAAAGAGCGUGUAGGCGGUCCGGUAAGUCAGCUGUGAAAGUCAAGGGCUCAACCCUUGAAAGCCGGUUGAUACUGUCGGGCUAGAGUCCGGAAGAGGCGAGUGGAAUUCCCGGUGUAGCGGUGAAAUGCGCAGAUAUCGGGAGGAACACCAAUGGCGAAGGCAGCUCGCUGGGACGGUACUUACGCUGAGACGCGAAAGCGUGGGGAGCAAACAGG
This 253-nucleotide ribosomal RNA is filed under the name uncultured bacterium. RNAcentral describes it as "partial 16S ribosomal RNA". It matches the Rfam family "Bacterial small subunit ribosomal RNA", at positions 524 to 776 of the family's 1533-position model. The record is from RNAcentral.